This 2394-nucleotide ribosomal RNA is filed under the name Triticum aestivum (bread wheat). RNAcentral describes it as "partial small subunit ribosomal RNA". The record is from RNAcentral. Lineage: Eukaryota; Viridiplantae; Streptophyta; Magnoliopsida; Poales; Poaceae.
AUGAGAGCUACCAGCCAACAGCCGGCACGUCUCCUACUGCGGCUGCUCUUGAUCGGCUUCUUCCUCCUUUCGACCGCCGCCGGCGUCACUGACAAGCUCGAGAGGGGCCAGAAGCUCGCCGAUGGCGACACGCUCGUUUCGGCUGGCGGCUCCUUCACCCUCGGGUUCUUCUCUCCUGGGGCGUCCACCAAGAGGUACCUCGGCAUCUGGUUCUCCGUGUCCAACGCCACCGUCUGCUGGGUCGCCAACCGCGACCAGCCUCUCCUUGACAAGUCCGGCACGCUGGUGCUUAACGACGUUGGCAGCCUCGUCUUGGGGGACAGCUCCCGCCGGACCCGGACGGCGUGGUCUUCGAACUUCCUGCCCGCCUCGGCGGCGGCGGUUCAGCUUCUCGAGUCCGGCAACCUGGUCGUGCGCAACGGCAGCAGCAGCACCUCCCUGUGGCAGUCGUUCGAUCAGCCGUCGGACACCCUGCUGCCCGGCAUGAAGCUGGGCAAGAACCUCUGGACCGGAGGCGAGUGGCAGCUCACGUCGUGGAGCUCCGCCGACGACCCGUCGCCGGGAGACUACCGCACGCUGCAAACCAGUGGGUUACCGGAGAUCAUCCUGUGGUACCGCGACGUCAAGACGUACCGCACUGGCCCGUGGAACGGGGUCUACUUCAACGGCGUCCCGGAGGCGCGUGCGUACGCGGGCAAGUACCCGCUGCUGGUGACGACGAGCCCGUGGAAGAUCACCUACGGCUACACCGCCGCGCCCGGCGCGCCGCUGACCCGCGUCGUGGUGAACCACACCGGCAAGGCGGAGCGGCUGGAGUGGGACGCGAGCAACCGGGAGUGGAACCGUAUAUUCCAGGGGCCGAGGGACCCGUGCGACGAGUACGGGAAGUGCGGCCCGUUCGGCCUCUGCGACCCCGGGGCGGCGUCGUCGGGGUUCUGCGGCUGCGUCGACGGGUUCAGCGCCGCGAACACGUCGGCGCGGGAGGUGAAGGAUAAUUCCGACGGGUGCCGACGAGACGCGGCGCUGGUCUGUGCCGGCGGGACGACGACGGACGGGUUCAAGGUGGUGCCAGGGAUGAAGCUUCCCGACACGCAGAAUGCGUCGGUGGACAUUGGCGUCACGCUGGAUGAGUGCAGGUCGAGGUGCCUCGCCGACUGCUCGUGCUUGGCCUACGCCGCCGCCGAUAUUCGGGGAGGCGGCGAUGGCACCGGGUGCGUCAUGUGGACGGAUGGCAUCGUUGAUCUACGCCUCGUCGACAGAGGGCAGAAUCUCUACCUGAGGCUGUCAAAAUCAGAAAUCGGUGGCCGUAAAAGGUUUCCUACACUACUUGUUGCCACAACUCUACCUUCUGCUGUUACUAUUCUUCUGCUCGUCUUUAUGAUUUGGUGGAGAAGGAAAAACAGAACAAUAGGUGCAAUUCCUCCAAAUCCUACCAUGGCGGUUCCUUCAGUUAGUCUAGCAAUUAUAAAGGAUGUCACUGGAAAUUUCUCUAAAAGUAAUAUCAUUGGGCAGGGUGGAUUUAGCAUUGUUUACAAGGGACAGCUUCCUGAAGGAAGAACUAUUGCUGUCAAGAGGCUUAAACAAACAGCAUUGACAACAAAAGGCAAGAAUGAUUUCGCGAGAGAAGUGGAAGUGAUGGUUGGGCUUCGACAUGGUAGUCUUGUUCGUCUCCUCGCUUACUGUGAUGAAGGCAAGGAGCGGAUACUCAUCUACGAAUACAUGCAGAACAAGAGUCUGAACAUCUACAUAUUCGGAUCAGGCGAGAGUGUGAUCCAUCGUGACCUUAAACCCGGGAACAUUCUUCUCGAUGAUGAGUGGAAGCCAAAAAUCGCUGACUUUGGCACCGCCAAACUGUUUGUCGAUAAUCGGACUGGGCCUGAUCAAACAAUUGUCAUUUCGCCGGGAUACGCAGCUCCGGAGUAUGUGCGGGGAGGGGAGAUGACGCUAAAAUGCGACGUUUAUAGCUUUGGAGUUAUUCUUCUAGAGACUCUUAGCGGGCAAAGGAAUGGUAGCUUGCAAAGGCUUCUUUCCCAAGCCUGGGAACUGUGGGAGAAGAAUAGGAUCAUUGAACUUCUCGACACAACAAUUGUGCCGCUCCCCAAGUCCGAGCCCGAGAUACUGCCCGAGCUAAAACGUUGUAUCCAGAUCGGGCUCCUCUGCGUCCAGGAAAUGCCAGAUGAUAGGCCAGCCAUGUCAGAAGUUGUGGCCAUGUUUACAAGCACAACAUCUCAAAUUGAUUUGCCCAGAAGAUCGGUACUAGAUAGCGGAAUAGCCAUGCCUUUGAAUCCGUCCCUUGAACUUGAGACUGAUCACUUGAACCCCACUACAAUUGAGGUGAGAUCACCAUCGAGUAGAUCCAGCUAUUGUUGUCUAGCUUGCAACCAAUCUAAUUAA